Dermacentor albipictus is the source of this 1256-nucleotide long non-coding RNA. RefSeq lists it as uncharacterized. Lineage: Eukaryota; Metazoa; Arthropoda; Arachnida; Ixodida; Ixodidae. The record is from RefSeq and is a predicted model, not a curated record.
CUUCCCAGCGGAUCAUACUGCAGCCACGAAACGCAGCUUGCUUUUCCACCAAUGGGAUACGCACAGUCGCCUGGACAUGUUAGCCAGUGUUCGCUAUCAACCGAAACGCCAGAGACCGUCAUACUGCGGGUAACGCUCAGACGAGGGGCUGCACGAUUGCUGCUGGGUCUGCGUGUCGCCUAUUCGCGCCAUGUGAGGUAUUUUCCAAGUUGCUUAGGCUGGAUGGAAUCGAAGCGGCUAUUGUUCCUAGAGCGUCGUGAAAGAAUGCCAGUGCUGUAAGCUGGUGUGUCUUCUGCUCACAGAUGUCGAAGGUAACGUGCGGUGCCAGUGCCGGACCGGCGGAAUUGAAUUUGGGCUGCACGCACGGAGACCGACUGCAUAUGACGAAGGUUGCCCCGAGCAGCUCACCACGUGGACACCGACACACGGGCAGCCGGUGCUGCCAGUGCGCGCAAGGAGCUGUGAUCCCAGUCACACACGCUGGUACCGUGGACUGACCUUACUAGCUGAUGCCAUGGACCAGUGUAGCCAUUCCUACCUCACGGUACCCUGCCCUCCCCUCCGCCCUCGGAAGUGCAGAUGCGAUCGCCUACGUGGCUGCGGAUGCCGUGGCCGCCGGCAACUCAGCGCAUGUGCAAGCAGAAGGCAUUUGAACGGGGCAAAUUCGCAAUGUUAAGGCGAUUCAGCAGACAUGUGCUAAAAUUGACGGCGGUCAAUCACAGUGGCAAGGAGCAGUCCGCUACUGGACAGCGAGCAGACGGCAGCGACGAUAUGGCGAGUUGCUGCCUUCUAUGGUGACCAAGGUGCCUCCUUCCACAGGCCCGUUGAGAGGGUGGAUCUACGCGGGAGGAGCUUCUGUGUCAGGCGGCCACGAGCCCUGGCGUGUUUCCCGUAAUUACUGCAGGGCCAAAGGGGCGAAAAAAGCUGCCGCCAAUCGAAGCGCUCGGCGUCGUCCCGGACACAAAUAACGCGCUAAUGCUCGCCACCUCGAGCGCGGCAGCUGCAGAAGCGAACCUUCGCCGGCGCCCGCGGCAUUUACUGUGCUGCUCAUCAGCGCGCAACCUGCAUUUACAGCAGGGCUAAGUGUGCCUGCAGCUGGCAACGUCCCAAAUUGAAAACUGUCGCAGCAGCGAAAGCAAGCACAAUCCUCCUUCGGUGAUGCAUACCGUGCUCUCCGUGCAGAUGACUUUGUUGUCCCGGAGCCGAGCAAACACCCGCUCCCUGGCGCCUUCAAUUUCGACGACGCAUUGAAAUCC